Molecule: ribosomal RNA, 468 nt
Filed under: uncultured bacterium
Lineage: Bacteria
Description: partial 16S ribosomal RNA
Rfam family: Bacterial small subunit ribosomal RNA
Source: RNAcentral
GACGAACGCUGGCGGCGUGCUUAACACAUGCAAGUCGAACGGAAAGGCCCUGCUUUUGUGGGGUGCUCGAGUGGCGAACGGGUGAGUAACACGUGAGUAACCUGCCCUUGACUUUGGGAUAACUUCAGGAAACUGGGGCUAAUACCGGAUAGGAGCUCCUGCUGCAUGGUGGGGGUUGGAAAGUUUCGGCGGUUGGGGAUGGACUCGCGGCUUAUCAGCUUGUUGGUGGGGUAGUGGCUUACCAAGGCUUUGACGGGUAGCCGGCCUGAGCGGGUGACCGGCCACGUUGGGACUGAGAUGCGGCCCAGACUCCUACGGGAGGCAGCAGUGGGGAAUAUUGCACAAUGGGCGGAAGCCUGAUGCAGCAACGCCGCGUGCGGGAUGACGGCCUUCGGGUUGUAAACCGCUUUCGCCUGUGACGAAGCGUGAGUGACGGUAAUGGGUAAAGAAGCACCGGCUAACUACGUG